GAUGAAGAACGCAGCGAGACGCGAUAAGUAAUGUGAAUUGCAGAAUCCAGUGAAUCAUCGAAUCUUUGAACGCACAUUGCGCCCGCCAGCAUUCUGGCGGGCAUGCCUGUUCGAGCGUCAUUUCAACCCUCGACCUCCCCUUGGGGAGGUCGGCGUUGGGGACCGGCAGCACACCGCCGGCCCUGAAAUGGAGUGGCGGCCCGUCCGCGGCGACCUCUGCGCAGUAAUACAGCUCGCACCGGGACCCCGACGCGGCCACGCCGUAAAACACCCAACUUCUGAACGUUGACCUCGAAUCAGGUAGGACUACCCGCUGAACUUAAGCAUAUCAAUAAGCGGAGGA
This 343-nucleotide unclassified non-coding RNA is filed under the name soil metagenome. Its description in RNAcentral is "partial contains 5.8S ribosomal RNA, internal transcribed spacer 2, and large subunit ribosomal RNA". The stretch from base 1 to 120 matches the Rfam family "5.8S ribosomal RNA", at positions 35 to 154 of the family's 154-position model. The record is from RNAcentral.